CAGCCGCCGCGGUAACACCAGCCCCUCGAGUGGUGGGGAUGAUUAUUUGGCCUAAAGCGUCCGUAGCCGGCCGAGCAAGUCUUCCGUUAAAUCCAGCGUCUCAAGCGUUGGACUGCGGGAGAUACUACAUGGCUAGAGAGUGGGAGAGGUCAGCGGUAUUCUGGGGGUAGGGGCGAAAUCCUUUGAUCCCCGGAGGACCACCAGUGGCGAAGGCUGCUGACUAGAACACGUCUGACGGUCAGGGACGAAAGCUGGGGUAGCGAACCGGAUUGGAUACCCGGGUAGUCCCAGCCGUAAACGAUGCAUGCUAGGUGUUGGGUUGGCCACGAGCCACCCCAGUGCCGCAGGGAAGCCGUUAAGCAUGCCGCCUGGGAAGUACGAUCGCAAGAUUGAAACUUAAAGGAAUUGGCGGGGGAGCAC
Molecule: ribosomal RNA, 420 nt
Filed under: uncultured Nitrososphaerota archaeon
Lineage: Archaea; Thermoproteati; Nitrososphaerota
Description: bacterial SSU rRNA
Rfam family: Archaeal small subunit ribosomal RNA
Source: RNAcentral